UGCAUCGACCGGGAAUCGAACCCGGGCCACCCGCUUAGGGCGAGCAUUCUACCACUGAACCACCGAUGG
This 69-nucleotide transfer RNA is filed under the name Cordylochernes scorpioides. RNAcentral's name for it is "tRNA-OTHER". Lineage: Eukaryota; Metazoa; Arthropoda; Arachnida; Pseudoscorpiones; Chernetidae. The record is from RNAcentral.